GCAUAUCAAUAAGCGGAGGAAAAGAAACCAACAGGGAUUGCCCCAGUAACGGCGAGUGAAGCGGCAACAGCUCAAAUUUGAAAUCUGGCUCUCGGGCCCGAGUUGUAAUUUGCAGAGGAUGCUUCCUGCGCGGUGCCUUCCGAGUUCCCUGGAACGGGACGCCAUAGAGGGUGAGAGCCCCGUACGGUCGGCAACCAAGCUUUGUGUAGCACCUUCGACGAGUCGAGUUGUUUGGGAAU
Molecule: ribosomal RNA, 239 nt
Filed under: uncultured fungus
Lineage: Eukaryota; Fungi
Description: partial 26S ribosomal RNA
Rfam family: Eukaryotic large subunit ribosomal RNA
Source: RNAcentral